RNAcentral lists this transfer RNA (74 nucleotides) under Truepera sp. RNAcentral's name for it is "tRNA-Gln". It matches the Rfam family "tRNA". Rfam says of the family: Transfer RNA (tRNA) molecules are approximately 80 nucleotides in length. Their secondary structure includes four short double-helical elements and three loops (D, anti-codon, and T loops). Lineage: Bacteria; Thermotogati; Deinococcota; Deinococci; Trueperales; Trueperaceae. The record is from RNAcentral.
UGGGGUGUCGUCUAACGGCAGGACAACGGAUUUUGGUUCCGUUUAUCGUGGUUCGAAUCCACGCACCCCAGCCA